This is a long non-coding RNA of Cotesia glomerata, 205 nucleotides long. RefSeq lists it as uncharacterized. The transcript is spliced from 3 exons. NCBI's taxonomy places the organism in Eukaryota, Metazoa, Arthropoda, Insecta, Hymenoptera, Braconidae. The record is from RefSeq and is a predicted model, not a curated record.
CCAUUGCAAUUCCACCGUGGUUCAACAGCGGUCUUACAGUGGAUUAACUGUGAAUCUAUUGUGGUUCGAUCGUGGUUCCACCUACGGUUUUAUAGUGGAAUUGUCGUGACUCUGCCGUGGUUCCACAGUGGUUUUACUGUGAUUCAACCUGGAUUCACAAGAAAGCCUUUGCUUAACCACGGUGGAGCCACGAUGGCAAAACGUC